ACGGAGCUGCAGAUGCUGCUGGAGGAGGAAAUCCGGGGGGGGGGGGGGGGGGGGCGCCGGGCCCGCUUCCACGGUUACAGGAACCUGGAGCCGGUGGCCGACUACCGGGAGAACAACUACAUCCAGUCAGCAGACAGGCAGCGAGCCCUAGAAGAAAGCAAAGCCUAUACCACCCAGUCUUUAGCGAGUGUUGCCUACCUGAUAAAUCCUUGGCCAACAAUGUACUGCAAAUGCCGGAUAUCCAGGCAUCCCAGCUACGGAGGAUGGACUCUUCAAUCAAUCAUAUAUCACAAACUGUUGAUAUUCGCAAACAGAAAGUUGCCAGAAGAGAAAUUGGUAUUUUGACUACCGAUAAAAACACUUCCAGGACACAUAAGAUUAUUGCACCAGCCAACCUUGAACGGCCAGUGCGUUAUAUUAGAAAGCCAAUUGACUAUACAAUUUUAGAUGAUAUUCGGCAUGGAGUCAAGGUGAGUACCCAGAAUAUGAAGAUGGGUGGGCUGCCUCGCACAACACCUCCAACUCAGAAGCCCCCCAGCCCCCUUAUGUCAGGGAAAAGGACACUUGGGUGGCACUCCCCCUGUCGCACACUGGAGCCAGUGUGUCCUCCAGUGGAACCCAAUGAUUACGUACCUAGCCCAACCCGUAAUAUGGCUCCCUCGCAGCAGAGCCCUGUGAGGACAGCUUCUGUGAAUCAAAGAAAUCGAACUUACAGCAGCAGUGGGAGCAGUGGAGGAAGCCACCCAAGUAGUCGGAGCAGCAGCCGGGAGAACAGUGGAAGUGCGAGUGUGGGGGUUCCCAUAGCUGUUCCCAUAGCCCUACUCCCUCUCCUCCCAGUGUCUUUCCAGGCCAUCCUGUUCAGUUCUACAGCAUGAACAGACCUGCCUCUCGCCAUACUCCCCCGACAAUAGGAGGCUCGUUACCCUACAGUCGCCCUCCUUCCAUAACUUCACAGACAAGCCUUCAAAAUCAGAUGAAUGGAGGACCAUUUUAUAGCCAGAAUCCAGUUUCAGAUACUCCACCUCCACCACCACCUAUGGAAGAACAAGUCUUUGAUGAGUCACCUCCUCCACCGCCUCCCCCUGAAGACUAUGAAGAGGAGGAAGCAGCUGUGGUUGAAUAUAGUGACCCUUAUGCAGAAGAGGACCCACCUUGGGCCCCAAGGUCUUACUUGGAGAAAGUUGCGGCCAUUUAUGAUUAUACAAAAGACAAAGAAGAUGAGCUGUCCUUUCAGGAAGGAGCCAUUAUUUAUGUCAUCAAGAAGAAUGACAAUGGUUGGUAUGAGGGAGUCAUGAAUGGAGUGACGGGGCUUUUCUUGUCUGAUGUCUGGCAUGUGAAGUCUAUCAUGCACUAUUCUGAAUAAAGCUCAGCAGGGCUGCUUCCCUCACUCAGAGUAGGCAGGUCUUCCCAGAUAAUCAUAAGGCCCUGGGGAUCCCCCCUUGAGUGAAUUGAAGGAUACAAAUGAUAAAAAGUACUUGUGGGUUUCUUGUUUGUUUGUCUGUCUCCCAGUAUUAUACAAAAAAAAAAAAAAGCGCAAGCUGAGUUUGAAUAAA
This is an RNA transcript of Erinaceus europaeus (western European hedgehog), 1553 nucleotides long. It is a transcript of the gene named abl interactor 2-like, with no coding region annotated. Lineage: Eukaryota; Metazoa; Chordata; Mammalia; Eulipotyphla; Erinaceidae. The transcript is spliced from 2 exons. The record is from RefSeq and is a predicted model, not a curated record.